UUUUAGAGAGUACAUGAAACGAUUAUUUAGUAUACUGUAACCUAUAGCGAAUUCAACAUUCACUAAUGACAUUCAACGGAACGAAAUAAAGAAAUAAACAACAGGGCGACUUGAGUCUAAAGAAAGAUGACAUCAUGGUUAAGGUCAACGUUUCGAAAACUGCCUCACAAAUAUGUGAUAUAUGACUAUGUGCAGAGAGGAAUUGUAUAUUCUGUUAUUUAUGUUCUCUCCAUUACAACAAUUCGAUAUGGCAUAGAACUUCGGCACCACUUUAAAGUUAGAAAACCUAUCAUCGAAGAAAAGAAAAGGGCCCUCAAGGAAUAUGAAUUUGAAAGGCUACAAGCUGAGAGGGAAUUUGAACUCAGUAAAGCAGCAUCACUCCAAGCAGAAGCUGAUAAUAUUAAACCUUAGAUAUGAUACACAUUAGACUUCUGAGAAGAAGAGACACUGGACUAUGUGAAAUGACAGGAGUUUCAUUUUGCUUCACCUGGAUGAAAUGAAAUGUAGGUGUCUGUGCAUCUCGUUGAUUUGAGGACAUCUUGCAAAACAUGUUCACAUUCUCAAACAAGUAGACCAUUUGCCUCUUGUCAAUCCCUUUACCACUUUUUAACGUUUUGAAGUCCUUUAGAAAACCAAAUUAUAUUUAAGUCCUUUCUUAAUAUAUUAAAGUUUGAAUUACUUGAUUUCCAACCCUUAGAUAUAGAUAAAGAAGAGUAGCAAGCAGCAUAAAACCUGAACAGACUGCGAGUUUCUCGCAGGCUGUUCUGAAUUUAUGCUGGUUGCAAAGGCCAUUUUCACUUAACUUCUGAGUGGGAAAGUGUUAAGAAUUUCAUGUCACAAAAUAUAACGUUCUGUGUGUAACAUUGUGCCAAUUAUGAAGGUAAAUAUAUUCUUUGCAAUAAUUGACCUUGUUUUUCUGACACUGAAAUAUUCAGACAUUUGUUUUAUGUGCAAAUGAUUUUUUACAUACACGUAGUACUUUGAACACUUAUAUAUAAAAAAAUAGAUUAGGAUUUUGACAUACAAAUCUGUUACUGUUAUCAGGUUUGUUUUGUUAUUAAGUCUAUAAAAAAAUCUAUAUUAAAUUUAUCCUCACUUGCUUCAAUAUGAUUUGUUUACCAAAGUUCAUGUCAGGUACAGGCAGAUGUUAGACUUCUUUCCCUGUAAUCUGAUGACAAUGGGGUAUGUUUGCUUCUCAGAUUCACAUACUUCAAAAUUGUUCUUUUUUUAAAUCUAUGUACAUGUAUAUGGUAAUCAAACGUCUACACUAUGAGUGUUAGAAGUUUAAGUAUAGGUAAUAUAAAUAAUAUUACAUUUCAUAUUUGUAAUGAACCUAACCUUCUCAUCUUUAUGAGUCGCGUUCUGAGAAAACUGGACUUAAUGCUUGUGAUUAAAGUGUCGUUCUAGAUUAGCCUGUGCAGUCUGCACAGGCUAAUCAGGGACGACAUUUUCAGCUUUUAUGGUAUCUUUAGUUUCAAGGAAGUUCCUUUCUUAUGGAAAAUCAAGUUAAGGCGUUAAGUGUCGUCCCUGAUUAGCCUGUGCGGACUGCACAAUCUGGAACGACACUUUAAGCACAAGCAUUAAGUCCAGUUUUCUCAGAACAAGGCUCAUAUUACCCGUAUACGUGCGCUUAUAAGACGCAUUUUUGAGACUUAAAUUAAUAAGUUACAGUUGGGGUCGCGUCUUAUAAGCGAGAUACUGGUGAAAAUAAACACAAAAUUUCAAAAUAUCGAGUUUACUGGGCUUAUGCUAGCCAAGUUGGACACUUGUCAGUUGUUUUGAAUCAUCGCGGCAGCCAUUUGCAUUUUCUCUAAAGUCUGUAUUGGCCUGUACCGUGUAUCGGAACGCUAUGUUCAGUUACUGAUUUAUUUGUUAUAAAAUGUAUUGUUACUGAUUUUGUUGUCUAUUAUUUUUGAUUUGAAUUUUGUUAUUUUUGGGGCGUAAGACGUUAUAUUGUCCGUGAUUAUUCUUGAAAAGUUUUUAUCACCCGAUUGUCUGCGCGCGACGUCGUUAAAUGCCAUAUAAAUUGGCCAUUAUAGUAUACAUGUGUAAGCGGCUACACGAUGCCAACAAUAUGCUAAAAACAACAGCAAAAUCAAUUCUCAGUUUGAAACUGUCAAUUGUUUAAUAAACACGCUGCCGGUUACAAAUGCUAUUUGACAAGUUUGUAUCACCUGAUCGUCUUUGUUCCACGUCGUUAAUUUUCAAUUAAGACAUUAUUGGCAAUUAAGGUAUCCUCUGAAAUAAGUUACCAGUUUGCAACUGUCAAUUGUUAAAUAAACAUGUUUAUUCAGACGACCCACUAAUGCCGAUGACACAUUAUUUAUUAGGGGCCAACAACGAAGGGAGCAAAGAGCGACCGCAUGCAAUUAUCUGCAUAUGGCUUUCUUCUUGACACGUGAUUUCGAUCUGCGCUUCGGAGUCUAUCACUCUAUCACGCGAUUGGCUAUUUUUAUGAAAGUAGGCGUUACCUAUUGUUGAUAGACAAUGGGCAUAACAUUUGCAUAAUCUAGGUAAUAAAACUAAACGCUUUCAAAAUAUCUGCCUAUUAGAUUUCAAUACCUGUCAAACAAUACAAUUAAGAUGACUGACACAAUCAAUUUUGCUUGUGCAUUGAUAUUAAGAACGUAAUAUGUUUGCAAUUGUUAGGGCAAAUGAUUAAUGCGCAAUUGUUAGAAAUUGUGUCAAUUUGAUAAUUAUUUUCAUUGCAUGAAUAAUACUUGAAAAUAAAUUAAAACCCACUAAUUUAUCAUAAAAUAAAAAAAUAUUAUUUACUUUGUUGUUUGAUUGUUUUAUUUUUCAGACUUGCGUGAAUUACUAAUUGUAUGCAGCGCGAGUUUGAAAAAUUCUCAAUGUUUUACUAAUUGAUGAUUUUCUUUAACAUUCUGCCAUUUUUCGUCCAUUUUCCGGCCGAUGAAUACGGCACAAUUUGACCGCGUCUUACACGCGGGUCAGUCUGAAAUCCACCCAUAAAAAGUCCGAAGUCGGGGUGCGUCUUAUAAGCGAGGGCGUCUUAUAAGCGCACGUAUACGGUAUGGUUAUUGUUCUUAUCAAAUGCUAAAGAUUUGUUGUUUUAAUCCUGUUGAAAUUAUCAACAUUAUACAUAUAUUAAUAGCAAGCGAAUAAUAAUUUAUAUUAGGGUUUUUGUUGUAGUUAUUAAGGAAAUAAACUCCUUAGCAAGUGUAAUUGUAAACUAUUUCAGAAGAUAUGAGUUAUUUUUAUAUUUAGUGAUUAAACAUUAAUUUUGUUGUAAUUCAAUAAUGCAUUUUGUAAUAAAAUUGUACAUGAGUGUACAUUUAA
Molecule: long non-coding RNA, 3300 nt
Organism: Dreissena polymorpha
Lineage: Eukaryota; Metazoa; Mollusca; Bivalvia; Myida; Dreissenidae
Exons: 3
Source: RefSeq, a predicted model, not a curated record